GGGAGCCUGCUUCUCCCUCUCCCUCUGCCACUCCCCCUGCUUGUGCUCACUCUCUCUCUCUGACAAAUAAAUAAAAUCUUUAAGAAAAAAAGAUUCAGUGAGUCCUGCAGUGAUGCUAGUGACAAGGUUAUUAUCAGGGUCCAGGUUAUAAAGGUGUGUCAUGACACAUCUGUCAAAAUGUUUUCUUCAGGUUACUGUUAAGAUACCAUGGUAAUCCUCAUAAUGAUCAUUAAAGGGAUUUUGUUUGUAUCUAGGUAAGUGAUGACGAUAGCCUUUUCCAUGCUAUAGACCAUCUAAUAUUCAGGUAUCUGAGUAAGUAUGGAUGGUAUUCCUAACCUUGUGUUGCUAUGUUUUUUUGCGGGUAUUCAGGUAAGAAAUGGUAUUGUCAAUCGAUGCUAGUAAGCGUUAGUCCUUAUUAUUUUAAAGUUUAGAUAUAAUGUUUGUAUAACAUCAGUAAUGUCAGAGAUUACAUAAGUAUUCAGGUAAGUUAGUAUUUUGCCCGUCGCCUCUUUAUUGACCAUGACUUCUUACAGUUAUCUUGUCAAGACAGUAUUGUGUCUCUAACUAGGGGGUUGACCUUGAACUUCUGCAAGUUUCCAGGUAGAUUUGAUAGGCCUCAUAAAUUUGAUGGGAUUUUGCAGGCAAUACAUGUAUUCCUAACACAGUUUUUACCAUGAAUUUUUAUAGAGUCCACUCAAGAGAUGAUGGAAGGCCUUCGAGAAAAUAUACCAGAGAAAUCCCAAAUUAAAUACUAUGGUCAUGAUGAGCAGUGGGUGAUGUAUGGAAUUGUUGAAUUGCCAUAUUGUAUACCUGAAACUAGUAUAACACUGUAUGUUUACUGGAAUUAAAAUUAAAAAAUAUAGAAGGGGAUUCAAAAACAAUCCCAGGGUAAAAUGACCUAUUCAAGUCGUGUAACAAUAUUUUCAGUUUCCAAUAGCUGCCUGUGAAAAAAGUCUUGCUCAAAAUGCAUAAAAUGAGAAAAAUGUAUUCCAUAUGAAUGAACGAAUAACUUGAACUUGUGCUAGUCAGAAAAUAAGAUUGAAUGAAUGAAUAAAUGAAUGCUAUUGUUAGUUGAACCAUCAUCUCUUAAUUUGUAUUUUUGCAGAUACCCACUCAGGAGGAGAAAAUGUCUCUAUUCAAGGUCUUGUCCCUGGAUUUUUGCAAGUAGCUGGAUGGAUUUUAUGGUUCCCUUUAAGUCUGCAGUGCUCAUUAGGUUUUCAGGUGUCCAGGUUAUGGAAUUACCGGUAGACACUGUUCUCUCUUUGGCUUUUGUAGAUUCCAGUGAAGAGAUUGUUGAGAACCUCCGUGUGGUAUUGAAGGCAAAAUUUUGUUUGCACUAAGUACAAGAUAAUGGUGUUCGUACCAGAGUUAGAGCUCAUGAGAUUUUGCACAUAUCCAGGUAGACCGUGUUGGUAUUCUGAAGCCAACCUAGUGACCAUGAUUUCUUUAUGUCCAGGUAAGAGAUGAUGGUGUCCCUAAUCAAGAUAAUGACCAUGGGAUUUUGCAGUUAUCCAAGCAAGAGAUGCCAUAUCCCUACCAUGAUCUUGAUCCUGCACCUUUCUAGGUAUUCAGCUUUUUUAGAUAUUCUGAGAAGAGAUGAUGGUGUUGCUAACCACACUAACGACCAUAGGAUUCUGCACAUAUCCAGUGAAGAGACGAUAGCAUCUCUUUCAACAUUGGUGUCUAUGGAAAUGAAAGAAAUGGAAUGCUUUUUUUGAUUAGCUGUAUAAUUUGUUAAAAGAAUUUUCAUGUUCAA
This is a long non-coding RNA of Zalophus californianus (California sea lion), 1756 nucleotides long. RefSeq lists it as uncharacterized. The record is from RefSeq and is a predicted model, not a curated record. Lineage: Eukaryota; Metazoa; Chordata; Mammalia; Carnivora; Otariidae. The transcript is spliced from 3 exons.